UUAUUUUGAAACCCUUAGACUCGAGAGUCUGUCUCCAUACCUCUAACCUCUCAAUAACACCGACCCUCGUCUCGUCUAUCAAGACUAUGUCAAGCAAAUAGCAUACACCAAGGCACAUCCCCUUGAAUAUGUCGGGUUAGAGUAUCCAUCACCAAGGCAAACAAGAGAGUGUUAAGCGCCGAUCCUUGAUGGAGCCCCAAAACCACUGGAAAAUGGUCUGAGUCGCCACCCACCGUCCUAACCCUAGUCUUAGAUGCAUCGUACAUGUCCUUGAUUACUCUGAUGUAGACUUCCGGCACGCUCUUCGCCUCCAAGCA
This 317-nucleotide long non-coding RNA is filed under the name Nicotiana benthamiana. Its description in RNAcentral is "long non-coding RNA (NBEN_LNC026275)". The record is from RNAcentral. Lineage: Eukaryota; Viridiplantae; Streptophyta; Magnoliopsida; Solanales; Solanaceae.